CCUACGGGCGGCUGCAGUGGGGAAUAUUGGACAAUGGGCGAAAACCUGAUCCAGCCAUGCCGCGUGUGUGAAGAAGGCCUUCGGGUUGUAAAGCACUUUCAGUGGGGAAGAAAGCCUUGGGGCUAAUACCCUCGAGGAAGGACAUCACCCACAGAAGAAGCACCGGCUAACUCCGUGCCAGCAGCCGCGGUAAUACGGAGGGUGCGAGCGUUAAUCGGAAUUACUGGGCGUAAAGCGCGCGUAGGCGGUCUGAUAAGCCGGUUGUGAAAGCCCCGGGCUCAACCUGGGAACGGCAUCCGGAACUGUCAGGCUAGAGUGCAGGAGAGGAAGGUAGAAUUCCCGGUGUAGCGGUGAAAUGCGUAGAGAUCGGGAGGAAUACCAGUGGCGAAGGCGGCCUUCUGGACUGACACUGACGCUGAGGUGCGAAAGCGUGGGUAGCAAACAGGAUUAGAUACCCGGGUAGUC
This 465-nucleotide ribosomal RNA is filed under the name Vreelandella stevensii. RNAcentral's name for it is "partial 16S ribosomal RNA". It matches the Rfam family "Bacterial small subunit ribosomal RNA", at positions 338 to 795 of the family's 1533-position model. The record is from RNAcentral. Lineage: Bacteria; Pseudomonadati; Pseudomonadota; Gammaproteobacteria; Oceanospirillales; Halomonadaceae.